AUAUAGACUAAGAUAGGAAAUAGUAAAUAUUAUAGGUCUUAGAGAGGAAGUCAUAUGGUGAAAGACUUCUGUCCUCCCUAAUAUUGAACCUGUCCUGGAGUUUUUAAGCCAUAAAGCUUAAACGGUGGUGCGUUAUAACUAUUGAGAGAACCUUUAUUAGGUUUAUUAGAGUGGUACCGCGGAAUUCAACCUUUCGUCUCUAGA
Molecule: non-coding RNA, 204 nt
Filed under: Tissierella praeacuta
Lineage: Bacteria; Bacillati; Bacillota; Tissierellia; Tissierellales; Tissierellaceae
Description: T-box sequence
Rfam family: T-box leader
About the family: Uncharged tRNA acts as the effector for transcription antitermination of genes in the T-box leader family. T-boxes are found upstream of many aminoacyl-tRNA synthetase genes and some amino acid biosynthetic genes usually in Gram-positive bacteria.
Source: RNAcentral